This 73-nucleotide transfer RNA is filed under the name Mustela putorius furo (domestic ferret). It matches the Rfam family "tRNA". From Rfam's summary of the family: Transfer RNA (tRNA) molecules are approximately 80 nucleotides in length. Their secondary structure includes four short double-helical elements and three loops (D, anti-codon, and T loops). Further hydrogen bonds mediate the characteristic L-shaped molecular structure. tRNAs have two regions of fundamental functional importance: the anti-codon, which is responsible for specific mRNA codon recognition, and the 3' end, to which the tRNAs corresponding amino acid is attached (by aminoacyl-tRNA synthetases). tRNAs cope with the degeneracy of the genetic code in two manners: having more than one tRNA (with a specific anti-codon) for a particular amino acid; and 'wobble' base-pairing, i.e. permitting non-standard base-pairing at the 3rd anti-codon position. Lineage: Eukaryota; Metazoa; Chordata; Mammalia; Carnivora; Mustelidae. The record is from Rfam by way of RNAcentral.
ACCUGGCUGGCUCAGUUGGUGGAGCAUGUGACUCUUGAUCUCGGGAUUGUGAGUUUGAGCCCCAUGUUGGGCA